Molecule: non-coding RNA, 45 nt
Organism: Tribolium castaneum (red flour beetle)
Lineage: Eukaryota; Metazoa; Arthropoda; Insecta; Coleoptera; Tenebrionidae
Source: Rfam
UCGACGGUUCUUUUCAGAACCACAAAAUUUUCCUAACAAAUAAAA